AUUCUUUAGAUGAAGCGAUCUGGAAAGAUCCGCCAUAGGAGGUAAGAGCCCUGUAAUCGAAAGAGAAUUUCCUCCGGAGUGGAUCCUGAGUACGGCGGAACACGUGGAAUUCCGUCGGAAUCCGGGAGGACCAUCCUCCAAGGCUAAAUACU
RNAcentral lists this ribosomal RNA (152 nucleotides) under Halomonas sp. CA2-2I. Its description in RNAcentral is "partial 23S ribosomal RNA". It matches the Rfam family "Bacterial large subunit ribosomal RNA", at positions 324 to 474 of the family's 2925-position model. Lineage: Bacteria; Pseudomonadati; Pseudomonadota; Gammaproteobacteria; Oceanospirillales; Halomonadaceae. The record is from RNAcentral.